RNAcentral lists this microRNA precursor (122 nucleotides) under Gossypium arboreum. Its description in RNAcentral is "MIR7504 microRNA precursor family". It matches the Rfam family "MIR7504 microRNA precursor family". The record is from Rfam by way of RNAcentral. Lineage: Eukaryota; Viridiplantae; Streptophyta; Magnoliopsida; Malvales; Malvaceae.
AACGAGAGAAUGACAAAUUAGAUUUUUUUUCCUGAUUUUCAACUUUUUCCUCUUGGAAAAAUUCAAAUCAAACUAAAAACACUAAAAAUUAAGAAAAAAAUUUAAUUUGUCAUUCUCCUAUU